AACAUGGAUAUAAUUUUAUUCGGAAAUUUAGGAAAAACAGAAAAUAAUAAAUAUAAAAAACUUAAUAAUACUUUUAUCAAAAUUCUUUAUCUAUAGAACAAAACUGUGUGAAAAUCAAGUAAAUUUUGCAGGGCUGAAAAACUAUCUAAAAGAAAAUCUAAUACUAGAAAAGAAUAUAUUUUUUAAAACAAAGCCUCUUCACAUUGCCAACCUCUACUGGGACCCCUGGCUUCCAUUAUUAGAAUAAUUUACACUUAAGCAACUUAAUUAGCAUUACCCUAUGUAAUGUUAUUGUGCAUUUUAUUUUAGCCUUCUCACACCAACAUAUAUGUUUUUAUAUAAUAUACUGUUAUAUGUUGUUUAUUGUUUAUUGUCUUUUGUUCUUGUUUUGUGCCUAAAAUGCAUAUACAUUCUCUAAUAUCUAUUUUGUGUUUGUAUGAAUUAUUUACAAUGGAAAACCAACUUUGCCAAAUUUAUUUAAUGUUGUAUCUUAAAAAAAAAAUACUGCUGCCAAAUUCCAAAUUUCAAGGACUUUUUAUUUUUUAUUUUUAAUUUUUUUUCUCUAGUUUUUAUUUUUUGUUUUUGUUUUGCUUUUGUGUUUUAUUUAUUUAUUAUUUUCUCUUCUCUUCUCACUUUCUCUCUUAAAUAAAAUUCUCACUUUAUUGAUCAACAUUGAAAUAAUUGAUACACAAUAUACUGUAUAUAUAUUUUAUAAUUUUGAAUACUAACAAUUACUAACAAUUUUUCUAAAUAUACAAUCUAAUGUUUAACGAGGCCGGGAUAAGGUACCGGUACUUUCUGUAUCAAACUAACAAAU
Molecule: long non-coding RNA, 817 nt
Filed under: Mytilus galloprovincialis (Mediterranean mussel)
Lineage: Eukaryota; Metazoa; Mollusca; Bivalvia; Mytilida; Mytilidae
Source: RNAcentral